UAACUCACUAUUAAUUUAUUAAUUACAGGUUGCGAUUAUUACAAAUUACAAUUAUUUUUGCUUAUUUAUACGUCUUUGAGGAAUGAAGCUAACAAAUCUAAUAGACGAUUGGCAUUGAAAGAGACAUUAGAUUUCCAUUGCAUAAGCUACCAAAGAAAAUGUCAAAUAUAUUCUUCUAGACUUUCCUUUCUUCUCAUUGUAUAAUUUAACAUUUCGGGUGGAACGUGCGAUUGCAGCGCUCAACGGUGAAAUAUGCAAUAUACUUACCUACGAUUCUCGAAUAUAUCGAUAUUUCUCACGAUUUAAGCGGGAACAAUGGCGGAAUGAAGUUUACACCCCGUCUGUAAAGAAGGAAGUAUAAUUUGGAAAAGUCAUUAGGAAAGAAGUGUUAUUCGGAAGUGCUGAGUUAACAUUUGGUGUGGAAUGCGCGACUGCAGCGCUCCAACGGUGAAAUAUGCAAUAUAUUUCCUAUGAUUCUCCAAUAUAUCGAUAUUUCUCACGAUUUAAGCGGGAACAAUGGCGGAACGAAGUUUACACCUCGUCUGUACAGAAGGAAGUAUAAUUUGGAAAAGUCAUCAGGAAAGAAGUGUUAUUCGGAAGUUCUGAGUUAACAUUUGGUGUGGAAUGUGCGAUUGCAGCGCUCCAACGUUGAAGUAUGCAAUAUACUUUCUACGAUUCUCGAAUAUAUCGAUAUUUCUCACGAUUUAAGCGGGAACAAUGGCGGAACGAAGCAUAUCUCGUCUGUAAAGAAGGAAGUGUAAUCUGGAAAAGUCAUCAGGGAAGAAGUGUUAUUCGGAAGUUCUGAGGUUAUUCCUUGGUUACAAAGAUAGCAUAGAACGCUACGAACAUAUUAAUGAACAAUCCAAUGCACUUUUACGGAAAGUUGGUUUUACUUAGGACAUUGUAUUUAUUUUGGGUAACAUUUUCUAUAUAAUUUAUAUAUAUUCAAAAUUUAAGUCACAAUACGUAAUUUCGCAAUUAUAUGGGAUACAAGGAUGAAAAUGGAUAUCAAUUAAUAUUUUAUUUCGAACAUGGAGAUCGUAACUUAAUGGUAUAUAUUUUCAAAUGGAUAUAUG
Molecule: long non-coding RNA, 1076 nt
Organism: Frieseomelitta varia
Lineage: Eukaryota; Metazoa; Arthropoda; Insecta; Hymenoptera; Apidae
Exons: 5
Source: RefSeq, a predicted model, not a curated record